This is a long non-coding RNA of Ursus thibetanus thibetanus, 2750 nucleotides long. Lineage: Eukaryota; Metazoa; Chordata; Mammalia; Carnivora; Ursidae. The record is from Ensembl.
UGCUAAUACAUUUGAAUAUUUAUUUACAGAUGAUUCUUUGGUAUAAAAGCUGGAAGAUAUCCCAGAGAGAUCUACUCCAAUGUUGUCAGCAGAGUUAGGCAAAAAAGAUUCACAGAACUUUAGAUGAAAAGAUCUUGGAAGUCUUCCUGUCAAGGCAUCGGCCCUUCUAUAUUAUGGAAAAGAAGCUCCUAGAUGUUUUAAUACCAUGUGACUCAGAGCAGGACAAGAUGUUGCAUUUUCUCAUGACAAAAACGGAUAGUUGUGGCUUGGAAGAUGGGAAACUGGAUCAACCAUGAACUAGAGCAAAGUUGAAGACAGCUAAAUAUUUCAAGAGUAUUUUCGGUAAUUCCAUGAGCUUUCCUGACAGUUGGUCACUCUAUCCUCACUGCCUCCUGUGGUAUAAUGUUACAUAUCCAAAGUCCGUGAUGCAACACAAGUUCAAGGGUUCUGGGACCAAAAAUUUGAGAACUGCUGACACAGACAGUGAAAUAAUCAAGAAAGGAGGCAUCUAUCCAUCAAUAAUAAUGUCCUGAACAUCACUGAGCUAAAACAAGUCCAGGUAUGGGUGAUGACCAGGUGUGGUUGAGGGCCGCAUUCUACCAUGUGUCAGUCAGUCUUCUAGGACUUCAGUACUAAGAUAAGGAGGGACUCAUAACCAGUACACACAUGUAAAUAUCAGCAGUAGGCUUUCUGUGAGCGGUUGAGGAAAUGCCUUGCAGGACAUUCUGUUGCCCCUUUCUUUCUCGAUCGUUGAUUCAGAGACCAUGAUCAUUUGAUUCUUAUGAAAGGCCACAUUAUUGGACAUAUCUCUAUAGUGCAGUAAAUUUUGGUUGAAGUAUGACAAAAGUGAGGAAAGGCUUUGAGUACUUAUCUUUCUCCAAUCUGUUUGCAGGUAUCCCGCUUUGGCUAACUCACCAAAUUCUUGUUUGGGUGUCAUGCCAAGCAGGUGUGUGAUCAAUGUUUAUAAAGUUACCGACUGAUUGACUGAUUAUCUUGCAGAAAGCAUUACUUCAUUCUUGGUGGCUAGUCUAUUAACCAUAUGGCAGAUUACUUCUAUGAAUAGAAGUAUUCAACUACUCUCUUAUUCAAUGUAACUGUCUUAUAUUCUGAAAGAAUGAAUACAAGGUCAGCGUAAGUGUCCUCAGUGCCUUGGGAGAGGAUUUUAGGGUUGCUUUUUUUAAUAGACUUUUGCUAAGAGUAGCAAAGGCACCAUAAAAAGAACAGUUAACGAAACUUGUUUUCUUCAUUACCAAACUUAAUAUAAAUACUUCAACAUGAAUGUUCUUCUCUUUUUUCUUUUUUAAAUUAUUCAUGAAGUCUUCGCCUGAGUUGGGGGUGGUGAUAUACAAGAAUAAUCUCUGAAAUGAUUGCAAUAAGAAAGUAGUAAUAUAAUAUUUUUGAACCCCAACAAAUAGAAGGAUGAUUCAUAAUUCAAAAUACAAUACAAUAAAACUAAGAAUGCAGGUUAGUCCUUAAUUUGACCUACAUUAAAUAAUUAUGAUGUAGAGGUAAACUCAUGGAUAAUUUCAAGGACUCCAGAAGGCUUCAGCUUAAGUAAAUGAGAUCUUAGAUUUUACACUCUGACGUCCCUUGCUUUUAUUUUUCCCUCAGGUGCAAACUCGCAUCAGGAUCUCUUUCUCGUGCAAUUAGCAAGGUAACUGCCUUACCUAGCUGGCAUUGCCCCUUUUCAUUUUGGGGUCUGCAAGCAUUUGCCACUUGCACUCAGAUCAUGUUUUUGUGAGAGGCCACAGAGUGACUUUCUUUAAAGCUAUCAAAGCCUUCCUCAUUAUCCUUUAUGGGCUGUGCAGAAAACAUCUCAACUAUUAGACAUUUAACUGAGUGCAGUAGAAUGGGUUUUCUGGCCCCCUCCAGUUCCUUGGGUAAAAGCUCUGUUCAUAAUCAGUUUCUGGUUUUUUAAAUGACCCUCAAGAGGUUCCUUCCGGUCCACUUCAGUUCCCUUUUUAGUGUCCCAUUGAUUUUUCCAGACUUUAGGAACGUGUCCUUAACUGCCUGCUUUUCCAUUGGCUCUCUCUACUGAAUGCUAAAGGAACACUUUGUUACUUCAUACACUGAGACAGGAAUAUCUUGAAAACUAACACACCAUUUAUAACAGUACAGUUUAUAAUAGCAUUUCCUGCAAAAAGAAGGUGCCUUUCUCAGAAAGAGAAGGACGAUUUCUGCACCCCAUUUAGUUUCAAAAUACAAGCAACACCCUUGUUUCUUGUCAAUAAAAAGGAAGAUAGAAUAGAGUAGCAAUCACAAUACAUAAAUGAUAUUAUUUGUCCCCAGAGUACAUACCAAGUAGUAAUUCACUCAAAGAGCUUGCAUGAAUUAUAAAUGGCAGGAAAGCACUGAGAGGGAACCUCAAUCCAGACUCACUCCACACUGCUCUUACAUGAGCAGUUUAAAGUCAGACAAGCUACACAAACUAUAUAAGGAAACUGUGAAGGUAUAUAAUUGACUUUGGAUUCCCUUCCUGCUCUAAAUCUCAUUUUAAAUAAUAUAGGGACACUAUAGAAGCUGUGACUCUGAAGAUACAGCACUGAUUAAAUUUUAAAUCAAAUAAGCUAAUCAAUAUAGAAUCGGAAAAAUCUCUUGGGAGUGAUUGGACUUCCAAAAAGAUGUCCCCUUGACUCCACCCACCCCUAAAAUAAAAAUAAAAACAACAACAGCAAGAGAAAACCAUAGGUCCUAAACUACACACAGACACGGAAGACAGAAAUCGAAGUUUGCAGAAAACUUGGGCAUUU